RNAcentral lists this ribosomal RNA (312 nucleotides) under uncultured bacterium. Its description in RNAcentral is "bacterial SSU rRNA". It matches the Rfam family "Bacterial small subunit ribosomal RNA", at positions 367 to 673 of the family's 1533-position model. The record is from RNAcentral.
GACAUGGGCGAAGCCUGAUCCAGCCAUGCCGCGUGUGUGAAGAAGGUCUUCGGAUUGUAAAGCACUUUAAGUUGGGAGGAAGGGCAGUAAGUUAAUACCUUGCUGUUUUGACGUUACCAACAGAAUAAGCACCGGCUAACUUCGUGCCAGCAGCCGCGGUAAUACGAAGGGUGCAAGCGUUAAUCGGAAUUACUGGGCAUAAAGCGCGCGUAGGUGGUUCAGCAAGUUGGAGGUGAAAUCCCCGGGCUCAACCUGGGAACUGCCUCCAAAACUACUGAGCUAGAGUACGGUAGAGGGUAGUGGAAUUUCCUG